AGGAGAGGAAGCACAAGGGCAAAGACUGAGACUCUUGUUCACUGGAAAAGUAUAUUUUUAAAAACCCUCAGAGAAGGCAGAAGCAACUUCAAAGUAGACUGCAAAAGCUCAGGCGUCCUGAGCUACAUGCCUUAAGCUGAAGGCUGUGCAGGUACAUGUCGCCAUAACUGCCUCAAACAAAAGAUGCAGCACUGCUGCUGGAGGGCUGGGAAGUGCUUGACCUUAUCUGCCCAAGUCUCAUUGCACCCUCCUUCUCAAGGGCCAGCAAGGAUUUACUGCUUCCCCUGAAGUAUGCAGGGGUCAUAGAAUCACAGAAUCCUUAAGGCUGAAAAAGACCUAAGAUCAUCAAGUCCAACCACUAACCUAAACCCAGUGUGUUCAGCACUAAACAAUGUCCCUAAGUGCCACAUCCACACAUUUUUAAAUGCUUCCAGGGGUGGUGAUUGCAUCACUUUCCUGGGCAGCCUGAGCAACCUUUCAGUGAACAAGAAGGGUCAGUGUACAACAGAGCAUCAAGCUGCAACAGGCAUUCUCCAGUGUGGCUGCAUCCUUUCUCCCUGUCCAAAAGUGCCCACUGAGGCUCUGUGACCACAGCUCUGAGAAGUGGCACUCAGAGACCUCAAGUCCUAUUGGCUGCUGAUGACAGUGACCCCAUGAAACAGCUUUCUCAAAUCAAGAUACGAUUUACUAGUAACAGAAGGUAGGCAGUGUAAUGCUUUCUAAAACUGACUCAAAAGAGGGUAUUUGUCUCUCCUAGCUUGGUCCCUUGCCAAUACAUGUUCCAGGAGCUGCUGAGAAGCUGAGAUUCCUGCAACCUUACAGGCAAGGUGUCUGAUCCUGGAACAAAACACCAUCACCACCAUGUGAUACAGCCUCAAGACCACAGCUUUCUAGAAAGAAAGGUCAAGUGAAACAGUUCUUCCUAAAGAGCUUGCCUGAAUGCAGAAACAGGAUCACACCAAGCAACGAGCAGCAGGACAAGCGCCUUAAAUCACACAUCACAGGUCCUGGAAAAGGCAAGGCCACCUGGCCACCAACAACAGCCAGACGUUGGACCAGGUCGACAGAAGCCCUCUAUCUCCAUUCCACUGAGGUGGAGGCAUGACCAGGUAGAAGAGAAGGCAGGAAGCAGUGAUCAGCUGGAAAACUACCAUGAACAAAAACCCAAGUACUACUACAAAAACAUGAAAACCCAGGGAAAAAAAAUUCUAAUAAAACACUGUAAUAUGUUACCUUUAUGUGAAUGACUCUUCAUGCUCGCCUAGACUGAGUCACCCUGGGAACUGCCUCGCGGGUCCAUCUGGCUGCCAACUCCUGGCUAAACUUGAACAUCCUGUGACUGAAAUGAAUGCAUCAAAGGCUAAGGCGCCGCAAGGUAACAAGGCUCUCUUUGUCCAGCACUUCCAGAUGCACCAGCAUUCCCCUUCUGCUAACUCUCACAUAUCCUCUGGGUCUGUGUUUGGUAUAUUUCUGACUUUUAGAGGCUGUAAAGAAAGGGUAGACUUGAACUUUGCCUCUCACCCUAAUUUCAUGGACAUCCUCAAUCCAUCUCUGGCCAUGUAUCAGUGACAGUAUA
Long non-coding RNA from Vidua chalybeata, 1576 nucleotides. RefSeq lists it as uncharacterized. Lineage: Eukaryota; Metazoa; Chordata; Aves; Passeriformes; Viduidae. The record is from RefSeq and is a predicted model, not a curated record. The transcript has 3 exons.